Molecule: non-coding RNA, 21 nt
Filed under: Arabidopsis thaliana (thale cress)
Lineage: Eukaryota; Viridiplantae; Streptophyta; Magnoliopsida; Brassicales; Brassicaceae
Also listed under: 34 other names
Source: RNAcentral
GCCGCUAUGGUGAAAUUGGUA